GCUUCUUUUUGGAACCCAUCUGAGAGAUGACAAGAGGCUUUUCUGGGGCCUGAGAUUUUUGUUUCAGCAGC
Molecule: long non-coding RNA, 71 nt
Filed under: Pongo abelii (Sumatran orangutan)
Lineage: Eukaryota; Metazoa; Chordata; Mammalia; Primates; Hominidae
Description: lincRNA
Source: RNAcentral